This is a long non-coding RNA of Actinia tenebrosa (Australian red waratah sea anemone), 488 nucleotides long. RefSeq lists it as uncharacterized. NCBI's taxonomy places the organism in Eukaryota, Metazoa, Cnidaria, Anthozoa, Actiniaria, Actiniidae. The record is from RefSeq and is a predicted model, not a curated record.
GGCUCUUUUUUCUUCUUCUUCGCAUUCAAACAACUGCAAGUCUCACCUCGAAAACAAGAUCCUAUGUGUGAAGAGUAAGACCUUACAAACCAACAAGAUGAACUCAACUAAGCAAGUAUUCGUCCUGGUAGCUUUGCUGCUAGUACUGUCCAUGUUUCUUGACGGGAACGAAGCGUCCGUGGCUGUUCCUGGGUCUCCGUUUGGAAAGCGAGGCGGCGCAAGUAAGGCAGCUUCUCGUGCACAUGCGCACAUCUGUGAGGCAGCCAAACUCGUUCAGUGUCAACCAAACGACGAACCUGCCCGAACAGAUAUCGAUUGAUAACCUUAUCAGGCCCUUGGUUGAGACCUAUAAGACACAACACAAGAGAAACUCGGUUAAUUGCUGGCGAUUAAAUAGUUAGCUGGAAUCUACUAAGGCUAUGUCAGCCAUGAUAGUUUGUCCAGUGGAGUAGCCUGCUGGUUAAAUAAAUAUUGUCAGAAAUGAAAAA